Molecule: long non-coding RNA, 15199 nt
Filed under: Fragaria vesca (wild strawberry)
Lineage: Eukaryota; Viridiplantae; Streptophyta; Magnoliopsida; Rosales; Rosaceae
Description: long non-coding RNA (FVES_LNC001107)
Source: RNAcentral
GAAAAAGAGUCUACUUUAGAUAUAUUUCAUGUGUGCUUCAUUGAUAAAUCUUAAGAAAGCAAUAUUAAUUUCUAGAUUGCUACUCCUUAUUCGAGAAUUAGUAGAUAAUAUUUAGAGACUUAUUGAGUAAUGUGGUGGAAUCUGUUAUCUUAGUUAAUUCGCAUCAAGGUAAUCUUUAUCUAUUUUAUUUGUCUUAACUACUUCACCAUCAACUUUCAUUCAAUUAGGUUAGUGUUAAAUUAAUUUGGAUUAGAUUAGUUUUUUCUAAUUUUCAUACAUUCCCUGUGGAUUUGACCUCGCUCUUGUAUAUCUGUACUGCAACUGAUUCGUGCGCUUAUAAGUAACAUUUUAAAACACAUCACCGCCAAGGUGCCGCCUUGACCUGCCUUGACCCUAUUCGGCCCUACUAGGCACACCUAGGGCAACCAAAGGGGUGCACAACCCACAUAGGGCCGCUAAGCGGCCGUCUUGACCCGCCCUGGCCUGACCACCUUAACCCUCUUAGGGCUGCCAAGAGGUUGCCUUAACCCUUCUAAGGCAACCAAGGGGCCGCCUUAACCCAGCUAGGGUAGCCAAGAGGCCGCCUUUACCCGUCUUGGCCCGCCUUGAUCUGCCUAGGGGUUGCCAAGACCCGCCUAGAGUCGCCAAGGGGCCGCCUUGACCCGCCUUGGCCCGACUUGGCCUGUCUUUACCCGUCUUGGACUGCCUUGCUGCCUUGACCCACCUUGUUCCGCCUUAGGCUGCCUUGACAUUCCUAGACCCGCCUAAGGUUGCCUUGACCCUCCUAGGCUGCCUAAGGCCACCAAGAAGCCGUCAUGACUCGCCAAGGGGUCGCCAUGACCCUCCUAGGCCCAUUUAGGGCUGUCUUAACCCGCCUAUGGCCGUCGAUGGGCCAUCUGAACCCACCUAGAGCAGCCAAGGGGUCGUCUUGACCCACCAAGGGGAUGCCUUUACACGCCUAGGGUUGUUUUGACCUCCCUAGGGGCCUUAUGGACCCAUCUUGACCCGCCUUGGCCCGCCAUGACUCGCCGUGACCCUCUUAGGCUCGUCUAGGGCCGCCUUGACCCUCCUAAAACCGGCUAGGGCCGCCUUGACCCUCCUAGACUGGCCAAGGGGCUGCCUUGACCCUCCUUGGACCGCCUUGGCCCACCUUGACCUGCCAUGACCCGCCUUGGACCGCCAUUACCCGCCUUGACCCUCCUAGGCCCUUCUAGGGCUGCCUUGACUCUCCCAGACCUGCCUUGACCCUCCUAGGACCACCAAGAAGCCGUCAUGACUCGCCAAGGGGUCGCCAUGACCCUUCUCAGCCAAUCUAGGGCCGCUAAGUGGCCCCCUUAACCCGCCUUGACCCACCUCGGCUUUGCUAGUCCCACGUUGGGCAGCCAAAGGGGAGCCAUGACCCACCUAUAGCCGCCAAGGGGCUACCUUUACACGCUUAGGGCUGUUUUGACCUCCCUAAGGCCGUUAUGGGCCUGUCUUGACCCGUCUAGGGGCUGCCUUGACCCUCCUAACCCGUCUAGGGCCACCAAGAAACCACCAUGACUCGCCAAGGGGUCGCCAUGACCCUCAUAGGCCGGUCUAGGGCCGCCAUAAUGACUUGGAUACAAUUCACGCAAACGAACUUAUUGUUGUCAAGAUAGGAAAGUAUUUGUGCCCAAGUUAUCGUACCACGGGAAUUAGUGGCUAACCCACAAUCCUAAGCUAAUCGGAACAAAAGUCACUAAGCAAACAAAGAAAAAGAAGAAAAAUGCUACUCUAAAGCACCAAGCCUUAGCAAUGCUCGGCUUCGGUUAUCACCAAAGCCUAAUCAAUACUAAAUGCCUAGUGAUGGGUAAUUACAAUGAGUUGAUAUAUAAAAUGGAGAUUGAAUGAGAAUUAAUUAAAUUGACGAAAAACUAAAUGAAAAAUAAACUACUGACUAAUGAACUAGAGAAUGAUGAGAACAUGGGAGUGUCGGGUGAUCCACACUAACUCAUAUGCAAACAACGAUACCAAUUUCACAAAUACAUAUCCUAUUGUAUCAAGUCCCGUAUCUAAUACCCGUUAAGGCUACUAGACCAAUUAUCCUUUCGGUGUAUCGAUUAUGCCGGUUAAGGCCACAAUCGACUCUCUAACAUGAGCAUUACGCCAGUUAAGGCCGUAACAUCCAAAUUAGAUGCCUAGAGUGCAAGAUAAUAGAGACCCAAGCAAGCUUAGCUACAAUCAAGCUAGCUAAUGGUUACCACGCUUCAAAUCAUAGAUGCACAAGACUAAUAAGUUGUCAAUUUAUCAAUCUAUCCAUCAAUUGUUCAUAACAUUAUCUCAAAGGGUGACAAAGCCUAGAAACAUGCUUAUAAGGACCAACACAUUCGGAUUAAAAGCAUAUACAAUGAAAAUUGCAUCUAUUAUAAUUAAAGUACCAACAUUUAUACAAAAUGAGUUUAGGGCUUCACACCCUAACUCCCAAAAUAGAACUACUCUCUACCCAUAAUCAAAUACAUCAUCAAUAGCGUAUAAGAUAAAGAAAUAGACAAUAAGGAAGAGAGGGAGAGAGCUAGCUUGGUCACUUCAAGCUAUGAGCUAGUAUGAACCCAAAAAAGCCUUUCACCCAACUACCCAAUAGAAGAGGUGGUGCUCUUGAAGAUGAUGCCUUGAAAGCCUUGAGUGAGUCCUUCAGAUUCCCAAAGAAUCUCUAUCUAAUUUAUGAAAUGAGAAAAGAGGAUGAGAAGGUGAAUCGGUGGGAGAGGGCAAAGCACUUCCCUUCUUCACUGUGCGGCUGUGGUCUUCUCUGUCUGCGGCCCGUCUUCAAAAGUGGAUGAAUGAGAUGAUUAUAUAUGACUUGGUCCGGUUGUGUGGCCGUAGAGGAAAAGAAGUGUUUAGGCCACGUGGCAGCUCCUCAUUGGAAGAGGCAUGGGAUUAGCACAUGAGAGGGAAAUGGAAAAUGAGCACGUUUUGGCCUUUGGCAAUCAUAAUUAACCAAUUAACAAUUGGUUAAUUAAUUGAUUAACUACCAAUUUACUUCUUUCUCUUCUUCUUUUUGAGAAGAACUUCAUUUCGCUCUGAAAUUGUGCUAAUUCCCUAUGAAAUCUGCAUCAUUCUUAUUUCCUACAAAUAAACAAAAUGGGAUUAAUUACAUCGUAAUUGGCUUGAAUAUUAGCUUAGUUCAUGUGUUUAGAAUAUAAUUAAGUGUAUAAAAAUACACAUAAUCACAUAACCCGCCUUAGAGUUGGCUACAUCUGAACCGUUAGAUUUUUAACCGCAAAAUCUGGGCUGUCCAUUUGAGAUCAUAUAUUGAUGUGGAUCAACUUGGACUUCAUUAGAUGGAGUCCAGACUGACUUCGUCUCCACUCUUCGAUAGUUCUCUGUCGUCCGGCCGCCUUGACCCUCCUAGACCCACCUACGGCCACCAAGAAGCUGCCUUGACCCUCCUAGACCCGCCUAGGGCCUCCUUGACCCUCCUAGGCCCGCCAAGGGGCUGCUUAGAGCCGCCAUGGGGCCGCCUUGACCUGUCUUGGACUGCCUUGACCCGCCUUGAACCGCCUUGACCUGACUAGGGCCGCCUUGACCCUCCUAAACUUGCCUAGGGCCGUCAUGGGGCUGUCUUGACCAGCCUUGGCCCGUGUUGAACCAUCUUGGACCGCCUUGGCCCGUCUUGACCCGCCUUGACCCGUCUGGGCCCGCUUUGAACAGCCCUGGGCCGGCUUGACCCUCCUAGGGCCGCUUUGAUCCUCCUAGACCUGCUUAGGGCCACCAAUUAAGAAGCCGCCAUGACCCGCCUAAGCUCGUCAAAGGGCUGCUUUUACACGCCUUGACCCUCUUUGGCCCUCCUAGGGCCACCUUGACCCGUCUAGAGCCGCCUUGGCUCGCCUUAGGCCGCCUAGACCCGUCUUGUCCCGCCUUGACCCUCGUCGGCCCAUCUAGGCGCACCUAGGGCAGCCAAGAGGGAGCCAUGACCCACCUAGAGCCACCAAGGGGCUGCUUUUACAUGUCUUAACCCGUCUAGGGCCACGAAGGGGGCCGCCUUGACACGCUUAGGGCCGCGAAGAGGGCCACCUUGACACGCCAAGGGGCUAGGGCCCCCCAUGACCUGCCUAGGGCUGCCAAGGGGCUGCCUACAUCUGCCAUGGGGCCACCUUGACCCGCCUUGACCCGUCUUGACCCGCCAUGACCUGUCUUGGCCCGCCUUGACCCGCCUUGGACCACCUUGACCCGCCUUGGGCCGCCAUGACCCGCCUUGAACCGCCUUACGCCACCUUGACCCUCUUAGACCCACGUAGAGCCACCAAGAAGCCGCCAUGACUCGUCAAGGGGUCUUAAUAACUCUUUUAGGGCCGCCUUGACCCAUCUGAGUCCUCCUUAACCAGUCUAAGGCUACCUUGACUUCACCCUCCUAGGGCAGCCAAGGGGGUGCCAUGACCCACCUGGGGCCGCCACGAGGCUGCCUUUACACGCCAUGACCCUCAUACGCCCGCCUAGGGCCACCUUGACCCGUUUAGGGAUGCCAAGACGCGGCCUUGACCUGCCUAGGGCCGCCAAGGGGCAGCCUUGACAAGCCUAGGGGACGUCAUGAUCCGCCGAGGGGCUGCCUUUACACGCCUUGGGUUAUUUUGAUUUCCCUAGGGCCCGCCAUGACCCGCCUAUGGCCGCCAAGGGGCUGCCUAGGGCCGCCAUAGGGCCACCUUGACCCGUCUAGGGCCGCCUUGACCCGCCUUCUGCCGCCUUGACCCGCUUUGGCCAGCCUUGAUCGACCUUGACCCUUCUUGACCCGCCUUGUACCGCCUUGACCCUCCUAGAAUCGCCAAGGGGCUGCCUAGGGCCGCCAUGGACCGCCUUGGCUCGCCUUUACCCUCUUUAGACCCGCCUUGGCUUGCCUUGGGACGUCAUGACCCGUCUUGAACCACCUUGGGCCACCUUGACCCUCCUAGACUUGUCUAGGCCACCAAGAAGCAGCCAUGACUCGCCAUGACCUGUCUAGGCACGUCAAGGUGCUGCCUUUACACGCCUUGACUUCCUAGGCCCGCCUUAAACCUCCUUGGCCCGCCUUAGGCCUCCUUGACCUGUCUUGCCCCGCCUUGGGCUGCCUUGACCCGUCUAGCUCGGGCCACUAAGGGACGUCUUGACCCGCUAAGGGGUGCCUUUACGCGCCUAGGUCUGUUUUGACCUCCCUAGGGCCGCCGAGGGCCGCCUUGACCCAUCUAAAGCCGAGAAAGGGGGCCACUUUGACACGCCUAGGGCCGCCAAAGGGGCCACCUUGACAAACCUAGGGACACCAAAGGGACGUCUUGACUCGCCAAAAGGUGCCUAUGCACGCCUAGGUCUGUUUUGACCUCCCUAAGGCCCACCAUGACCCGCCUAGGGCCGCCAAGAGGUUGCCUACAGCCUCCAUGGGGCUACCUUGACCCGUCUUGGGCCGUUUUGACAUGUUUUGGCUCGCUUUAACCCGCCUUGGCCUACUUUGACCCGCCUUGAUCAGCCUUAUCAUGUCUUGGGCUGCCUUGAACCUCCUUGGGCCGCCAAGAAGCCACCAUGACUCGCCAAGGUAUCGCCUUAACCCUCAUAGGGCAGACAAAGGGGUGCCAUGACCCAUCUAGGGCCGCCAAGGGUCUGCCUUUACAAGCCUUGACCUGUCUAGGGUCGCUAAGAGGCCGCCUUGACAUUUCUAGGGCCACCAAGAGGGCCGCCUUGACACGCCUAGGGCCGCCAAGGGGACGUCUUGACCCGCCAAACGGGCUGCCUUUACACGCCUAAUACUGUUUUGACCUCCCUAGGGCUCACCGGGACCCGCCUAGGGCCUGUUUGACUCGCCUUGGACCGCCUUGACCCUCCUUGGGCCGCCUUAACCCGCUUGACCCGCCAAGGGCCGCCUUGACCCUCCUGGACCCGCCAAGGGACUGCCUAGGGCCACCUUGACCCGCCUUAGACCGGCUUGGGCCGCCUUGACCUGCAUUGGCCCGUCUUCGGCCGCCUUGACCCGCCUUGAACGCCUUGACCCUCCUAGACCCGCCUAGGGCCACCAAGAACCCGCCAUGACCCGCCUUGACCCGCCAAGGGCCGCCUUGACCCUCCUAGACCCGCCAAGAGACUGCCUAGGGCCGCCAUGGGACCACCUUGACCCGCCUUGGACCCGCUUGGGCCGCCUUGACCCGCCUUGACCCUCCUAGACCCACCUAGGCCCACCAAGAAAUCGCCAUGACUCGCCAUGGGGUCGCCAUGACCCGCCUAGGCUCGUUUAGGGUCGCCAAGAGACUGCCUUAACCCACCUUGGCCCGCCAUUGGCCGCCUUGACCUGACUUGGACCGCCAUGACCCUCCUCGGCCCACCUAAGGCAGCCAAGGGGGCGCCAUGACGCACCUAGAGCUGCCAAGUGGCUGCCUGUUCACGCCUUGACCCGUCUAGGGCAGCCAAGAGGCCGCCUUGAUUUGCCUAGGGCACGCUUAGGGCCGCUAAGGGGAUGUCUUGACCCACCAAGGGGUUGCCUUUACAUGCCUAGGGCUGUUUUGACCUCCCUAGGGCCGCCAAGGGAUCGCUUUGACCAGUUUAGGGGCUGCCUUGACCCUCCUAGACUUGCCUUAACCCUCCUAGACCCGCCUAGGGUAACCAUGAUGCCGCCACGACUCGCCAAGAUGUCACCAUGACCCUGUUAGGCCGGUCUAGGGCCGCCAAGGGGCCACCUUAACCUACUUUGGCCUGUCUUGUCCCGUCUUGGCCCGUCUUGACCCUCCUAGACUAGCCAAGGGGCUGCCUAGGGCAACCAUGACCCACUUAAGGCCGCUAAGGGACUGCCUUUACAUGCCUAGGGCUGUUUUGACCUCCCUAGAGCCCGCUAAGGGGCUGCCUAUGGCAGUCAUGGGGCCACCUUGACUCAUCUAGGGCCGCCUUGACCCGCCUUGACCCACCUUGAACCGCCUUAACCCGCCUUUGGCCACAUUAACUCACCUUGAACCGGCUUGGGCUGCCUUGACCCGCCUUAAACCGCCUUAACCAUUCUAGACCCGGCUAAGGCCAUCUUGACCCGCAUAGAACCGCCUACGGCCACUAAGAAGCCGCCAUGACUUGCCAAGGGACGCCAAGGGGUUGCCUUUACACGCCUAAUGCUGGUUUGACCUCCCUAGGGCCCGCCAUGAUCCUCCUAGGGCCGUCUUGACCUGUCUAGGGCAGCGAAAGGGCCGUCAUGACACGCUUAGGGCCACCAAGGGGACGUCUUGACCCGCCAAAGGGGUGCUUUUACACGCCUAGGUCUGUUUUGACCUCCCUAGGGCCCGCUAUGACCCGCCAAGGGCAGCCAUGGGGCUACCUUGACGCGUCUUGGGCCGGUUUGACUCGCCUUGGCCUGUCUUAACCCGCCUUAACUCGCCUUGUCCUGCCUUGACCCGCCUUGGACUGCCUUGGGCCGCCUUGACCCGCCUUGGCCAACCUUGGACCGCCUUGGAUCACCUUGACCCACCCUGACCUGCCUUGGGCCGCCUUGAACCGCCUUGGGCCGCUUAGGGCCACAAAGAAGCCGCAAUGACUCGCCAAGGUGUCACCAUGACCCUUCUAGGCCCGUCUAGAGCUGCCAAGGGACCGCUUUAACCUGCCUUCACUCCUCUUGGGCAGCCUUGACCCUCCUCGGCCCUUCUAGGCCCACCUAGGGAAGCUAAGGGGGCGCCAUGACCCACGUAGGGCCGCCAAGGGCCUGCCUUGACAUUCCUAGGGCCGCCAAGGACCCGCCUUGACCAGUCUAAGGCCGCCAAGGACCCGCCUUGACCAGUCUAGGGCCGCCAAGGACUCGCCUUGACCAGUCUAGGGCCGUCAAGGACCCGCCUUGACCAGUCUAGGGCCGCCAAGAGGCCGUCUUGACAUUCCUAGGGCCGCUAAGUUGGCCGCCUUGACACGCUAAAGGCCGCAAAGGGGACGUCUUGACCCGCCAAGGGGCUGCCUUACAUGCCUAAUGCUGUUUUGACCUCCCUAGUGCCCGUCAUGACCCGCCUAGGGCCCGCCUUGGACCGCCUUGACUUGACUUGGGCUGCCUUGACCUGCCUUGACUCGCCAAGGGCCGCCUUGACAUUCUUAGACCCACCAAGGGGAUGCCUAAGGCCACCAUGGGGCCACCUUGACCCGCUUUGGACCGGCUUGGGCCGCCUUGACCGGCCUUGACCCGCCUUGAACAGCCUUGGGCCGCCUUGACCCUCCUAGACCCGCCGAGGGCCACCAAGAAGCUGUCAUCACUUGCCAAGGGGUCGCCAUGACCCGCCUAGGCCCGUCUAGGGUCGCCAAGAGACCGCCUUAACCCGCCUUGAUCCUCCUCGGCCCUGCUAGGCCUACCUAAGCCCAUCUAGGGUCGCGAAGGGGGCGCCAUGACGCACUUAGGGCUGGCUUUUCAUGCCUUGACUAUCCUAGGCUCGUCUAGGGCCACCUUGACCCGUCUAGGGCCGCCAAGAGACCGCCUUGACUUGCCUAGGGCCGCCAAGGGGACGUCUUGACCCGCUAAGUGGUUGUCUUUACUCGCCUAGGGCUGUUUUGACCUCCCUAGGGCCGCCAAGGGACUGUAUUGACCCGUUUAGGGGCUGCCUUGACCCUCCUAGACCCGCCUAGAUUCGCCUUAACCCUCCUAGACCCGCCUAGGGCAGCUGUUACACCCCUAAAGUCUCAUAGGCGGCAAGGUGCGCUGCAUGGGUUGUCCUUGCACCAUGUCGGGACGCAUGAAGGCACAAGCAAGGAUAAGCGCAAGUAGGAUGGCAAAGUUGGUAUGCGGCAACAAACCAAGCUAAAGGAAGGAAGGCGGCAUGGACCCUAAGGGCUCGGCAGGGUGCAGUGUCGGGUGCAUGAUAAGUGUGCUCGGCAGGGUGCAUUGUUGGGUGAGGCAGGAUGCAUGAAAAGGUGCACUGCUGGGUGCCUGUCAAGUGUGCUCGGCAGGGUGCUACGAGGGUGCGAGAAGGGUGCGCUGUAGGGUGCUCGACAGAGUGCUGGCAGGGUGCAGCAAAGGGUGCGCGCGGAUGCACUCUAGGGUGCAUACGUGUGCAUUGCGGUUACAAGCGGUUGAGAAAGGGUGUGAGAAGGGUGCAAGGAAGGUGCGCUGCAGGGUGCUGGCAGGGUGCAACAAAGGGUGCGCGCGGAUGCACUCUAGGGUGCAUACGUGUGCAUGGCGGUAACGGUUAAGAAAGCAAGUUAGUGGGAAGUUAUCUCCACAAACCAUGCAAGUUAGUGGGCGGUUACCUAGCACCAAAAGUGGGGAAGUUGGCAAGGAAGUUAUGUAUAUCUUGGUGGUUAUCUGGUUAUCUAAAAGGUAGUUAAUAAUCCUAUAAUAGUGGGGGAUGUCCACUAAUCCUAAAAUAAGGCAUGAACGCCACAACACCUAAGGGAAGUUGGGUUGUAACUUCCAAGUCCAGUAUGAUUAUAAAUAGGGCAUAGCCCAUAGUAUGUAAACUUGGAUUCAGACUUUGCCUAAAAGACUUGGCAAGCCAAAGACGAGUUCCCAUAUAAUUGUAGUUUGUUUUAUCAAUGAAAAAGGAAUGCCUAGUUCCACAAACUAUGUAUGCAUGUGAGCAUUGAGAAUCCCAACACUUGUGAGAAAUGAGGUAGACACUUGUGUGAAAAGAAAGGAUUGCAAUCCAAGAAGGUAUCAGAGUUGGUGUGUGCACACGAAAGCGUAGACCUGGCUUGAUAAGGCCCUCGCCUACCAGAACCAAGGCGUUGUAUGGGAGAUAGAUUUGGCUGGUCGAAGUUCAAAAGAGCCUAGAUGCCAUCACGGAGCCUUGCAUAUUGUUGCGAAACCAACAAAGUUGAGAAAAAUUCCGCUUCGUACUAAAGGCCCGUGACAGCAGCCAUGAUGCCGCCAUGACUCGCCAAGGGGUCACCAUGACCCUCCUAGGCCCGUUUAGGGCCGCCAAGGGGCCACCUUAACCUGCCUUGGUAUGCCUUGACCCGUCUUGCCCCGGCUUAACCCGCCUUGAACCGCCUUGACCCUCCUAGACUGCCAAGGGCCGCCUUGACCUUCCUAGAGCCGCCAAGGGGCUGCCUAGGGCCACCUAGGGCCGCCAUGACCCACCUAAGGCCGCAAAGGGGCUGCCUUUACACACUUUGAGCCUCCUAGGCCUGCCUAGGGCCACCUUAACCUGUCUAGGGCCGCCUUGACUAGCAUAGGGCACGCCAAGGGCCGCUAUUGGGACAUUUUGACCCGCCUUGACCCUCCUAAACCAGCGUAGAACCACCGCCAUGACUCGCCAAUGGGUCUCAAUGACUCUUCUAAGGCUGCCUUCACCCUCCUCGGCCCUGCCAGGCUCACCUAGGGCAGCCAAGGGGGCGCCAUGACCCACCAAGGUUUUACACAUCUUGACCCUCCUAGGCCCGCCUGGGGCCACCUUGACCCGUCUAGGGAUGCCAAGAGGCCGCCUUGACCAGCCUAGGGACGCCUUGACCCUCUUAGAACCGCCUAGGGCCACCAAAGAGCCGUCAUGACUCGCCAAGGGACGUCAAGGGGCUGCCUUUACACUCCUAAUGUUGUUUUCCCUAGGGCCCGCCAUGACCAGCCUAGGGCCGCCAAGGGGCUGCCUACGUCCGCCAUGAGGCCACCUUGACCCGUCUUGGGCCGCCUUGACCCGUCUUGGCCCGCAUUAGGCCGCCUGUACUCGUCUUGAACCGCCUUGGGCCAUCUAGACCCUCCGAGACCCGCCUAGGGCCGCCUUGACCCCCUAGACCCGCGUAGGGCCACUAAGAAGUCGACAUGACUCGCCAAUGGGUCUCAAUGGCUCCUCUAGGGCUCAAUGACUCGCCAAUGGGUCUCAAUGGCUGCCUUAACCCGCAUUAGGCCGCCUUGACCCGUCUUGUGUCGUCUUCACCCUUCUCGGCUCUGCCAGGCCCACCUUGGGUAGCCAAGGGGGAGCCAUAACCCACCUAGGGCCGUCACAGGGCUGCCUAUACACGCCUUGACCUUCCUAGGUCCACCUAGGGCCACCUUGACCUGUCUAGGGACUCCAAGAGGUCGCCUUGACCUGUCUAGGGUCACUAAGGGGCCGCCUUGACACGCAUAGGACCGCCCAAGGGACGUCAUGACCCGCCGAGAGGCUACCUUUACACGCAUAGGGUUGUUUUGACCUCUCUAAGGCCCGCCAUGACCCACCUAUGGCCGCCACGGGGCUGCCUAUACACGCCUUGACCUUCCUACGGAUACCUUGACCCGUCUACGGCCACCUUAACCCGCCUUGACCCACCAUGGGCUGCCUUGGACCCACCUAGGGCUGUCAUGAGGCCAGCUUGACCCGUCUAGGGCCACCUUGACCCGCCUUGGGUCGCCUUUGACCCUCCUUGGGCCACCUUAACCCUCCUUGACCCGCCUAGGGCCGCCUUGACCAGCCAAGGGCUGCCUCCUUGGGCCGCCUUGACCCUCUUAGAACUGCCUAGGGCCACCAAGAAGCCGCCAUGACUCGUCAAGGGGUUGCCAUGACCCUCGUAAGCCCGUUUAGGACCGCCUUAACUACCCUUGGGCAGCCUUCACCCUCCUCGGCCCUGCCAGGCCCACCUAGGGCAGCCAAGGGGGGGGGGGGGCCGACGACCCACCUAGGGCCGCCACGGGGCUGCUUUUACAUGCCUUGACCCUCCUAGGCCCGCCUAGGGCUGCCUUGACCCAUUUAGGGACGCCAAGGGGGCCGCCUUGACACGGCUAGGGCAACCAAGGGGACGUCUUGACCAGCCAUGGGGCUGCCUUUACACUCCUAAUGCUGUUUUGAUAUCCCUAGGGCCCGUCAUGACCCGCCUAGGGCCGUUAAGGGGCUGCUUGCUUACGUCCGCCAUAGGGCCACCUUGACCCUCCUUGGCCCGUCUUGGGCCGCCUUGACACGUCAUGGACCGCCUUGACCCGUGAUGGGCUACCUUGACCCACCUUGGCCCACCUUUACUCGUCUUGAACCGCCUUACACCGCCUUGACCCUCCUAGACCCACGUAGGGACGCCUUGACCUGCCUAGACACACGUAGGGCCACCAAGAAGCCGUCAUGACUCGCCAAGAGGUCUCAAUGACUCUUCUAGGGCCGCCAAAGGGCCGCCUUCACCCUCCUCGGCCCUGCCAGGCUCACCUAGGACAACCUACGGGGGGGCCAUGACCCACCUAGGGCCGCCUUGACCUGCCUAGGGCUGCCUUGACAUGCUUAGGGCCACCAAGGGGACGUCAUGACAAGCUGAGGGGCUACCUUUACACACCUAGGGUUGUUUUGACCUCCCUAUGGCCCGCCAUGACCCUCCUACGGCCGCCAAGGGGUUGUCUAGGGCCGCCAUGGGGCCACCUUGACCCGUCUAGAGCCGUCUUGACCCGCCUUGACCCGUUUUGGUCCGCCUUAACCCGGCUUGGCCUACCUUUGACUCGCCUUGGGCCGCCUCGACCCGCUUUGGUCCGUCUUGAUCCGUCUUGGACCGUCAUGGGCCGCUUUAACCCACCUCGAUCCGUCUUGGCCCGCCUUGAACCGCCUUGGGCCACCUUGACCCUACUAGACUCGUCAAUGGGUUGCCUAGGGCCGCCUUGACCUUCCUACUGCCGCCUUGACCCUUCUAGAGCCACCAAGAAGCCGCCAUGACUCGCAAGGGGUCGCCAUGAUCCUCGUAGGCCUUCCUUGGGCCGCCUUCACCCUCCUCGGCCUUGCCAGGCCCACCAAGGGCAGCUAAAGGGGCGCUAUGGCCCACGUAGGGCCGCCACGGGGCUACCUUUACAGGCCUUGACCCUUCUAGGCCCGCCUAGGGCCACCUUGACCCAUCUAGGUACACCAAGGGGGCCGCCUUAACACGCCUAGGGCCCCCAAGGGGACGUCUUGACACGCCUAGGGCCCCAAGAGGACGUCUUGACCAGCCAAGGGGUUGCCUUUACACUCCUAACGUUGUUUUGACCUCCCUAGGGCCCGCUAUGACCUGCCUAGGGCUGCUUACGUCCACCAUAAGGCCACCUUGACCCGCCUUGGGCCACCUUUACUCGUCUUGAACCGCCUUGGGCCGCCUUGAUCCUUCUACACCCGCCUAGGCUGCCAUGACCCUCCUAGACCCGCGUAGGGCCACCAAGAAGUUGCCAUGACUCGCCAAAGGGUCUCAAUGACUCUUCUAGGGAUGCCAAAGUGCCUCCUUAACCCGCCUUGACACGUGUUAGACCGCCUUCACCCUCCUCGGCCUUGCCAGACUCACCUAGGGAAGCCAAGGGGGGGCCAUGACCCACCUAGGGCAGCCACGGGGCUGGCUUUACACGCUUUGACCCUCCUAAGCCCACAUGGGGCCACCUUAACCCGUCUAGGGACGCCAAGAGGCCUCUUUGACCUGUCUAGGGCCGCCUUGACCCUCCUAUAACCGCCUAGGGUCACCAAGAAGCUGCCAUGACUUGCCAAGGGACGCCAAGGGGCUGCCUUUACAAGCCUAAUGUUGUUUUGACCUGCCUAGGGCCCGCCUAGGGCCGCCAAGGGGAUACCUACGUCCGCCAUGGGGCCACCUUGACCCGCCUUGGCCUGUCUUGCGCCGCCUUGACUCGCCUGGACCCUCCUUGGCCCGCAUUAAGUCGCCUUUACUCAUCUUCAACCGCCUUGACCCGUCUAGGGCCGCCUUAACCCCCUAGACCCGCGUAGGGCCACUAAGAAGCCGCCAUGACUCGCCAAGGAGCCGCCUUAACCCGCCUUAGGCCGCUUUGACCCGUCUUGGGCCGCUUUCACCCUCCUCGGCCCUGCCAGGCCCACCUAGGGCAGCCAAGGGGGUACCAUGAUCCACCUAGGGCCGCCACGGGGCUGGCUUUACACGCUUUGGCCCUCCUAGGCCCGCCUAGGGCCACCUUGACCAGUCUAGUUAUGCCAAGUUGCCGCCUUGACCUGCUUAGGGCCGCCAAUGGGACGCCUUGACACACCUAGGGCUGCCAAGGGGACGUCAUGAUCCGCCGCCUUUACACUCCUAGGGUCGUUUUGACCUGCCCGUCUAGGGACGCCAAGAGGCCGUCUUGACCUACCUAGGGCCGCCAAGAGGCCACCUUGACACGCCUAGGGCCGCCAAGGGGACGUCAUGACCCGUCGAGGGGCUGCCUUUACACGUCUAGGGUCAUUUUGACCUCCUUAGGGCCCGCCAUGACCCUCCUAUGACUGUUAAGGGGCUGCCUAGGGCCGCCAUGGGCCACCUUGACCCGUCUAGGGCCGCGUUGACCCACCUUGACCCGCUUUGGCCCGCCUUAACCCGCCUUGGACCGCCAUGGGCCGCCUUGACCCGCCUUGGACCUCCUUGGGCCGCCAUGACCCGCCUUCGGGCUGCCAUACCGCCUGGCGCCUUGACCUGCCUUGAACCGCCCUGACCCUCUUAGACCCGCCUAGGCGCCUUAACCCUUCUAGACCCGCUUUGGUCCCGCCUUGACCCGCCAUGGGCCGCCUUGACCCGCCUUGAACCUCCUAGACCCACCUAGGCCCACCUUGACCUGCCUUGACCCUCCUUGGGCCACCAUGAUCCGCCUUGACCCUCUUAGGCCGGUCUAAGGCCGCCUUGACCCUCCUUGACCCUCCUAGGGCCACAAAGAAGCUGCCAUGACUCGCCAAGGAGUCGCCAUGACCCUCCUCAGCCCAUCUAGGGCCGCCAAGUGGCCCCGUUAACCCGCCUUAGGCUGCCUUGACCCGUCUUAACCCGCAUUGACCCUCCUCGGCUUUGCUAGGCCCACGUAAGGCAGCCAAAGGGGCGCCAUGACCCAGUUAGGGCCGCGAAGGGGCUGCCUUUAUAUAAGAAUGUGUUGGAAGGAGUCUUUAUUAACAAAUGGAAUGGUUCCUCUCAUUUCACCUUCCCGAUGUGAAACUGAUGUUGUGCUGGUACCAACAAUAGGCUAUGACCAUAAUUUUUUUUUUUGUUGAGAGGAAUGACCAUAAAAAGUUGGACACUAGAAAACUUCUAAAACACAAACAUUAAGACCUCGUUUGGUUCGUGAAAUGGUUCAUUUAUCUUAAGGAAAGAAAACGGAAAUAAAAUUUCAUAAUAACUUUCUAUUUCGACGUUUGGUAACGCAAGGAAAUUCAUCGGAAAAGUUGUUAAAUUAAUAUUAAAAUAUUGUGUUGUGACUAAUUAAUGCAGGUAAAAUAAGAAGAAAAGUGGUUCAUUUGGAUUUUAGAAGGAAUCACUUUCCUCUAUGUUUUAUUUCCUUUUUCUUUCAAACACAGGAAAAGAAUAACUUUGCUUUGAUGAUGCUUACUUUCCACGGAACAAAAAAAACAAAGUGAACUGCUCAAACACUGUGGUAAACUUUCGAAAAUUA